Molecule: ribosomal RNA, 351 nt
Filed under: Triticum aestivum (bread wheat)
Lineage: Eukaryota; Viridiplantae; Streptophyta; Magnoliopsida; Poales; Poaceae
Description: partial small subunit ribosomal RNA
Source: RNAcentral
AUGAUGUCAUCUAUGCACCCUAAGUUUGUCGGGCGCCAUUACGCUUAUGGCUGCUUUUAUUUGGAGUCCACAAUGAAUAAGAAGUUGCUCGUGUUUGACACGCGGAGGAUGGAGUUCUCCAUUGUCGACGUCCCACACGAAACAUCAAACAUGUUCGGUCUAGCCAUUGUGGAGGCAGGAGAAGACAUGAUUGGCAUGUUUGAUAUCCAUAAUGAUCUCCGUUAUUACAUUAGAGGAAACAAAGGUGAGAGUUCUAGCCAGUGGAAGUCUGGAAGAUCAAGAAGACAAUCUCACUACCUUCUGAUUAUCAGUACUAUAUCCAAGCUUCAACCGGUAGGUACUUGCUCCUAA